RNAcentral lists this ribosomal RNA (253 nucleotides) under uncultured bacterium. RNAcentral's name for it is "partial 16S ribosomal RNA". It matches the Rfam family "Bacterial small subunit ribosomal RNA", at positions 524 to 776 of the family's 1533-position model. The record is from RNAcentral.
UACGUAGGGGGCAAGCGUUGUCUGGAUUUAUUGGGCGUAAAGGGCGCGUAGGCGGCUCGGCACGUCCGUUGUGAAAUCGCCCGGCUCAACUGGGCGGGGUCGGCGGAUACGGCCGAGCUGGAGCAAGCUAGGGGGUAAUGGAAUUCCCGGUGUAGUGGUGGAAUGCGUAGAUAUCGGGAGGAACACCAGUGGCGAAGGCGGUUACCUGGAGCUUUGCUGACGCUGAUGCGCGAAAGCGUGGGGAGCGAUCCGG